This 386-nucleotide ribosomal RNA is filed under the name uncultured bacterium. RNAcentral's name for it is "bacterial SSU rRNA". It matches the Rfam family "Bacterial small subunit ribosomal RNA", at positions 355 to 758 of the family's 1533-position model. The record is from RNAcentral.
UGGGGAAUCUUGCACAGUGGGGGCAACCCUGAUGCAGCGACGCCGCGUGAGCGAUGAAGCCCUUCGGGGCGUAAAGCUCUUUCGACCGGAACGAUAAUGCCGGUACCGGGAGAAGAAGCUGCGGCUAACUACGUGCCAGCAGCCGCGGUAAUACGUAGGCAGCAAGCGUUAUCCGGGUUCAUUGGGUUUAAAGGGUGCGUAGGCGGGAUAGCAAGUCAGUGGUGAAAUCCCGUGGCUUAACCACGGAAUUGCCAUUGAUACUGCUGUUCUUGAGGACGCUCGACGUGGGCGGAGUGUGCCGUGUAGCGGUGAAAUGCUUAGAUAUGGCACAGAACACCGAUAGUGAAGACAGCUCACGAGGGCGAAACUGACGCUGAGGCACGAAA